RNAcentral lists this ribosomal RNA (265 nucleotides) under uncultured bacterium. RNAcentral describes it as "partial 16S ribosomal RNA". It matches the Rfam family "Bacterial small subunit ribosomal RNA", at positions 793 to 1055 of the family's 1533-position model. The record is from RNAcentral.
GUCCACGCUGUAAACGAUGGACACUAGGUGUGGGGGGUAUUGACCCCUUCCGUGCCGAAGCCAACGCAAUAAGUGUCCCGCCUGGGGAGUACGGCCGCAAGGCUAAAACUCAAAGGAAUUGACGGGGGCCCGCACAAGCAGCGGAGCGUGUGGUUCAAUUCGACGCAACGCGAAGAACCUUACCAGGGCUUGAAGUGCCGGUAGUACUGAUCCGAAAGGUGAGGGACCCUUCGGGGAGCCGGUGGAGGUGAUGCAUGGCUGUCGU